This 927-nucleotide long non-coding RNA is filed under the name Macaca mulatta (Rhesus monkey). Its description in RNAcentral is "lncRNA (ENSMMUG00000062233.1)". Lineage: Eukaryota; Metazoa; Chordata; Mammalia; Primates; Cercopithecidae. The record is from RNAcentral.
GUAUGACCCUGUGCUUGGAGGGGUGAUUUCCACCCUCGAGUGUGAAGACCUGUAGAACCUGAUGCUUUGUGACAUAUUCUAGAGCAACACGACACUCUAGCCAUUCAAUCCUGAACCACAGGAUCUGCAGACACUUAUUAAAGGGGUAGUGCUGGUAAAUGAUGUGUUUGUUUCAGAGACCUACUAGGUCCAUUGCAGAGAGAGGAGUUUCAUGUGACCAUGUUACUUUGCCCUGGUAUUACAGUGAUGGAAGUUCCGGACAUCAACAUGGAUUUUGUACCUGGACCCACAUUUUGGCAAAUACCAGGUUUCAGACAUCCGCAUGUGAAAGGAAAAUAAAAUCUCUGGGAUCCCAAGCUCACUAUGCCAAAGGCGAAAGUUAAGCUUCGGAGCUGAGUCACACAAAACAAACAGACAAACAAAAAAACUGCCUUCCUUUCAGUCCUAAACAGCUGCAAGAUAGAAGGCCACACAGCUCACCAGGUGCUCUCCCUCACCCUAACAAUGUGAAUCAACAGCUUAUCUUCAAAAGUACAGGACAAAGACAAGACUAGAAAUCAUCCCUCCACCUACCCCCAAGACAAGUGCAUAUUUGACUUCUUCCUUUACUCUCUGUUUACUUUAUCCUAUGUAAAAUACAGAUCUACUAAGUAUGAGACGAAGGCGUAAUUGACUGUUUCUCUGUCCCACGCCUUUCAUAUUUAACAUGUGGAUUCAGUAAGUGCUAAUCAAAGCCUUAACAGAAUGUAAUCACUUAUCUCACUACCUACCCUCUCUUUUAUUUUCUUUCUUUCCUCUGCUGCCUGCUCUUUCCCCUUUAAAUACUGAAGUUCUCAAAAACAUUUUUGGAAAAAGUACUGAACACAGCUCUUAUGGUAACUUGUGUCUCUUCUUCCUGGGUGCACCCUCAACCUUGGCAAAAUAAAC